GAUGAAGAACGCAGCGAACUGCGAUAAGUAAUGUGAAUUGCAGAAUUCAGUGAAUCAUCGAGUCUUUGAACGCACAUUGCGCCCCCUGGCAUUCCGGGGGGCAUGCCUGUCCGAGCGUCAUUGCUGCCCUUCAAGCCCGGCUUGUGUGUUGGGUCGUCGUCCCCCCCGGGGGACGGGCCCGAAAGGCAGCGGCGGCACCGCGUCCGGUCCUCGAGCGUAUGGGGCUUUGUCACCCGCUCGAUUAGGGCCGGCCGGGCGCCAGCCGGCGUCUCCAACCUUUUAUUUUACCAGGUUGACCUCGGAUCAGGUAGGGAUACCCGCUGAACUUAAGCAUAUCAAUAAGCGGGAGGA
Molecule: unclassified non-coding RNA, 351 nt
Filed under: soil metagenome
Description: partial contains 5.8S ribosomal RNA, internal transcribed spacer 2, and large subunit ribosomal RNA
Rfam family: 5.8S ribosomal RNA (bases 1-120)
Source: RNAcentral